RNAcentral lists this ribosomal RNA (253 nucleotides) under uncultured bacterium. RNAcentral's name for it is "partial 16S ribosomal RNA". It matches the Rfam family "Bacterial small subunit ribosomal RNA", at positions 524 to 776 of the family's 1533-position model. The record is from RNAcentral.
UACGUAGGAGACAAACGUUAUCCGGAGUUACUGGGCGUAAAGGGCGUGUAGGCGGUUAGUUAAGUCUGGCGUGAAAGCUCUCGGCUAAACCGGGAGAGGUCGUUGGAUACUGGCUGACUAGAGGACGGUAGAGGCGUGUGGAAUUCCGGGUGUAGUGGUGAAAUGCGUAGAGAUCCGGAGGAACACCAGUGGCGAAGGCGACACGCUGGGCCGUACCUGACGCUAAAGCGCGACAGCAUGGGGAGCAAACGGG